Long non-coding RNA from Triticum dicoccoides, 546 nucleotides. RefSeq lists it as uncharacterized. The transcript has 4 exons. The record is from RefSeq and is a predicted model, not a curated record. Lineage: Eukaryota; Viridiplantae; Streptophyta; Magnoliopsida; Poales; Poaceae.
GAUUUGCGGGAUACAGUGAUCGACUAUGCAUACAUAUGGGGGAAUGUAGAUGAUCCUGGCCUCUAUAGUGAAUGGGAUUUUGAUGUCGACGGCUCUGCCGACGUGAGGGAUCUCAGGUCGCCGUCGCCCUUUGGGAGCUCCCUCUCCUUCCUGCCUUCUUACCGUGGUGCCAGGGAUCAACGUCCAGACGCCAACACGAUAGAGCUAUUGUGCUGCUGCCUCAGGUUGUCCAGGCGCGUCAUCGGUCCCAGCUACCCAUCAUCAAGAUCCGACGUCCUUUGUCCUUUUUUCCGAUUGAUGUUUACGUGGGUGUUGCUGGCUGCUUCCCUCUUGCCCCCUGGCCAGCAGGGUCCUCCAUGACCAGGGCCCCCAAGCUAAGGAGUAACAUGCUGCAGCUUCUGCCCACCACCAUGUAUGAGACAUCGAAAUCUAGGAAGCUGCAGAGAGGCUGGUGCCAAAUCUACAUCAGAACAACGGCAAGUUAACAAACGAGGAAGCUGGAGUUGUACUGUGACUAUUGUUAGAUCUGUUUUUGCACUUCUGAAU